UUGAUUCCCAACACCCCAUGUGACAGC
Molecule: non-coding RNA, 27 nt
Filed under: Cricetulus griseus (Chinese hamster)
Lineage: Eukaryota; Metazoa; Chordata; Mammalia; Rodentia; Cricetidae
Source: RNAcentral